UGUUAUAGCAGCACAAAUGGACUAAGACAAUAUGCAUGCUGCUACUGGGAUGUCUUUUCUCCUAGAUCCUCAUAGCUGAAGGAGGAAGGAAAUACAUGUGUGUGUACUAGUACAUCCAGAGGCAUGGAGAGAAUUUUCUUGAUUUUCCAUCAUAAGAACCUGAGAGGUUCCUAAGGUAAAACUCACCAAAAUGUGCCCUUACCCCUGAAGACUGCAAUUCCUAGAACUUUAUCACUCUCACAUCAGUCCUCAUUCUACCACCGACAAUUCAUCAAAACUACUAUUUAAGCAUUCUUACCAGUUCACAGUUCCAGUGGUUUCUAUUUUAGGGACUAGAGUAGCAGUCACAGAAUCUUAAGCAAGAAUAGAUCAUCUAUGGAAACAAUAAUUUUUACAGAAGUACAAGGCUGCCAAGAAAUAUGAAAUUCAACAAGCAAAGAUGCUCUGCUGCAAAAACCUUCCUGUAAGAGCAAGAAUGAUCACCUUCAGAAACUAUGCUCAAGACCACUCCAACUGCAGAGGAAUUGUAUGCAGAAAGGCAUUCUCUCUCAGACUUAAAGCCUGAUGUUGAGUAAAGCAAAUUAUAUUCCAAUGGAAGUAUUUUAGCACUUUU
Non-coding RNA from Microcebus murinus (gray mouse lemur), 613 nucleotides. The record is from RefSeq and is a predicted model, not a curated record. Lineage: Eukaryota; Metazoa; Chordata; Mammalia; Primates; Cheirogaleidae.